RNAcentral lists this ribosomal RNA (1324 nucleotides) under uncultured bacterium. Its description in RNAcentral is "partial 16S ribosomal RNA". It matches the Rfam family "Bacterial small subunit ribosomal RNA", at positions 64 to 1377 of the family's 1533-position model. The record is from RNAcentral.
GAGGGGCAGCGGGGAGUGAGGCUUGCCUUACUCUGCCGGCGACCGGCGCACGGGUGAGUAACACGUAUGCAACCUACCCUUUACAGCGGGAUAACCGGAAGAAAUUUCGCCUAAUACCGCAUAGACUCCUUGGGAGGCAUCUUCCGAGGGGGAAAGAAUUUCGGUGAAGGAUGGGCAUGCGUCGCAUUAGUUAGUUGGCGGUGUAACGGACCACCAAGACGACGAUGCGUAGGGGUUCUGAGAGGAAGGUCCCCCACACUGGUACUGAGACACGGACCAGACUCCUACGGGAGGCAGCAGUGAGGAAUAUUGGUCAAUGGCCGAGAGGCUGAACCAGCCAAGUCGCGUGAGGGAAGAAUGUCCUAUGGAUUGUAAACCUCUUUUGUCAGGGAGCAAAGUCACCCACGUGUGGGUGUUGGAGAGUACCUGAAGAAAAAGCAUCGGCUAACUCCGUGCCAGCAGCCGCGGUAAUACGGAGGAUGCGAGCGUUAUCCGGAUUUAUUGGGUUUAAAGGGUGCGUAGGCGGGUUAUCAAGUCAGCGGUAAAAUCGUGGAGCUCAACUCCAUCCAGCCGUUGAAACUGAUGAUCUUGAGUGGGCGAGAAGUAUGCGGAAUGCGUGGUGUAGCGGUGAAAUGCAUAGAUAUCACGCAGAACUCCGAUUGCGAAGGCAGCAUACCGGCGCCCGACUGACGCUGAAGCACGAAAGCGUGGGUAUCGAACAGGAUUAGAUACCCUGGUAGUCCACGCAGUAAACGAUGAAUACUAAUUGUGUGCUCCGAAUGAGGAGUGCGUGAUACAGCGAAAGCGUUAAGUAUUCCACCUGGGGAGUACGCCGGCAACGGUGAAACUCAAAGGAAUUGACGGGGGCCCGCACAAGCGGAGGAACAUGUGGUUUAAUUCGAUGAUACGCGAGGAACCUUACCCGGGCUCAAACGCAGGAGGGAUGUUUUUGAAAGGAGGCAGCUCUACGGAGUCUCCUGCGAGGUGCUGCAUGGUUGUCGUCAGCUCGUGCCGUGAGGUGUCGGCUUAAGUGCCAUAACGAGCGCAACCCCUACCGCCAGUUGCCAACGGGUAAAGCCGGGAACUCUGGCGGGACUGCCGGCGCAAGCUGUGAGGAAGGCGGGGAUGACGUCAAAUCAGCACGGCCCUUACGUCCGGGGCGACACACGUGUUACAAUGGCAGGUACAGCGGGAAGCCACUUGGCGACAAGGCGCGGAACCCGAAAACCUGUCUCAGUUCGGAUUGGAGUCUGCAACCCGACUCCAUGAAGCUGGAUUCGCUAGUAAUCGCGCAUCAGCCACGGCGCGGUGAAUACGUUCCCGG